Non-coding RNA from Callithrix jacchus (white-tufted-ear marmoset), 1731 nucleotides. The record is from RefSeq and is a predicted model, not a curated record. Lineage: Eukaryota; Metazoa; Chordata; Mammalia; Primates; Cebidae.
CACGUGCAGCCCAAUAGCCCACAGAGCAUGGGCUGGAGGGAGGCUAGCUGAGGUUGACCACAGAUUCUCAGUGGAAGGACAGUGCAUGUCUCAAAUUCUCCUAGCUUUGUGACAAUAAUCACCAACAUUUAUGGAUACCUUUGCAGGCAGGACCGUAGAGCAGAGAAGACACUGGAGCUUUGGUGCUUGGAAAGACCUCCCUGAAAUCCUGGCUUGGCCACUGCCAACCUUAGCCUGUCAGCUCCACAAGGGCAGGACUGUGACCCGCUGAUAGCCAUGUGAACCUUUCACCAUGGUUCAUGUGCAUGGAAGGUGCUAGAAAAUAGCCAUCAAAUGAAGGACAAGAAGAAUGGCUGGGGACAGCUCUGGCGACAUCUUCUUGCUUUAGUGACGACAAAACUGAAAAAUGUUGGGCUCUCAUGCUGCCCAAACAUUCCACAGACAAGGACCAAGUACUGGGCUGGCUGGGGAAGUCCGGAAAAGAACAUCAUUGCUGACAUCAAGAAGGCCCUAGAAGGGGAGACAGGGGAGUAAACACCUGCCAUGGAAGGUGCCAAGUGCUAUGGUAGACAUGUGACCGUCAGGGUAUGAGGAUUCACCUUCAGCUCCCUGUGUGCUUGUUGUGGGGAGAGCUCAAGGUAAGGGUAAAGACAGAGGGGUGGGGAACUGCCAGAGGAGCCUUCCUGCAGUGCCUGGAGCCUGAGCUGAGGCAUGGAGGUCACAGUGGAGCUGGCCAGGCUGAGACGGCACACUCUGGACUCCUUGACUUGAUGACUGGAAGUCGCUGGCUCUGCAUCUGAACUGAGAUACUUAUGAUAAGGUGAAACAAAAAUCCCCUAAACAGGGAAUCAGAUGGUACCAGGAGUGAAAAGACCCAGCCCUGCUUGCCAGGAAACACCAAACCCCAAUCACUGGAAAACACCACCAUUCCUUCCCCUAAAGCCAAAGCUUCUCCAUGUGAAGGGGAGGAUGGUAAGGCCCCAUGUGUGUGUUACACAUGGUCCAGGCAGAGAGUGCUGUGUCCAUGGCUAACCCAUCCCCUGGGCCUUGCCUUCACAGUGUCUGGGAUCUGUUUAGGGGGCAGCCCCAUUUACUUGCAGUUCGCCAGUCACACGCUACAGCACAGAUUCAUUCCCCUCCACCUGCCUGCCACUCACGCUUAUGGGAGAUGAGAUGGGAAGUAAUGGGCCUUCCUCUCGCCUCCCAUAUGAGCACUUGAAGUUAAUCCGUAUCUGGGUCUCAUGACUCACCACAUUAUUCUGUGCAUAUACUUUAUUACAGACUCAUGGUUCAAAUAAAAUUAGUGCUAUCCCAUAUUAUUGGUUCAAAAUUAGAAUUACAUGAACAAAACAGAUAAAGUCUUACCCAGCCUUCUAGGGCUAAACCAUGGAAGCAACUGCAACAUUUCUUCCUUUUAUUUAACCUCUGUAAUUUCAUUUUAGGUUGUCUUCAAGACUUUAAAAUAACAAGACUUAUUUCAACCGGAUUUUCCUAAAGUUCUUAGGUAGGGUGAGUAUCUAAUUCAGCACCAAAACUGGGACAGUCAUGAGAGUGAAAGGCAGACUAUUAAUAGUUAAGCCAGGACAAUGGCAUAUGCAGAGCUGCCACAGGCUAACUGUGACAGGUGGUCACCUAUUUUUAGGGGCAGGCUGACCCUCUUCAAUAGUCAUGGAUUAGUCUUGCUAAGUAAUGCUGCUUUUUCUGAUUGCUUUUUUAAAAAAACAAAGCAAA